UCCGGUGGCCAUGGCGGAGGGGAAACACCCGGUCCCAUCCCGAACCCGGAAGUUAAGCCCUCCAGCGCCGAUGGUACUGCCCUGGCGACGGGGUGGGAGAGUAGGACGCUGCCGGGA
RNAcentral lists this ribosomal RNA (117 nucleotides) under Pseudomonadota bacterium. Lineage: Bacteria; Pseudomonadati; Pseudomonadota. The record is from RNAcentral. RNAcentral also lists the same sequence under 1 other name.